This is a long non-coding RNA of Gallus gallus (chicken), 2213 nucleotides long. NCBI's taxonomy places the organism in Eukaryota, Metazoa, Chordata, Aves, Galliformes, Phasianidae. The record is from Ensembl.
GUAAAAAUAGCCAUAUUUUACAUCCAUGGGAAGCAUUAAGGAUAUUAUCUCUUUGGAGUUCCUUUCAGCCAAGAGUAAGGAGAUAUGAAGAAUUUGGCUGCUGUCCUCUGCUCCUGCACCACCCAGCUACCCAUCAUGGCUAAUAAUGCAACUCAGUGGCUGCUGUAUUUUUCAUGGCCCUUCUGACAGUAUGAGAUUAGUGGGAGCACAGCUGCUUCAGUACCAGGGCAUGUAUCUGUCUUUCCCUGGCAGAUCCCUUGGUGGUGUGUGGCUGUCAUGUUAAAGAGGGAAGGUAAAACUUAUUUACAGGCAGUCUGAGCGGCAUGUUAUUCAAGGCCAGGUUGCUGGCCCAUCUGAUAUUAUUUAAGGGGUUAGAUAUUGCCAGUAAAUGAAAAUAAAUGCUAUUAGUGUCCCUUCUAGUCAGUGGAAUUAGCUGCUCUUCAGCUGAUGUUUGGUUUUACAGCACAAGAUACGCUGGCUCUCAAGGGUCAUGGCUUUUAAAUGCUGGGAAGGCACUAAUCUUGGGAUCAUGGUGAUGCAAACAGAAAUAGGAGGCUAGCAAAACCAGCAGAGGGCUUCCCUUCUGUUGCUUACCCUCAGUCUCUCUGUUAAAUGGACCUGCAGAAAUCAGGGGCAAAGAGACAGAGUGCAGCACUGUUAACUCUAAGGGUUCCUCUUUUACCACAGUAGAGCCUUGGAAGGGCCCUUCUUUCCUCCUCAUCUCAGCCAGUCUCAGAAGGAUUGUCUUUGCUAAAAAGAAAUUACAUUCUGUUGCCUGUCUGUCUUGAGCCAUUUGCUUUUGGCAUUAACUGUCAAGCCCUGAAUCACUCUCUGGGGAUGCGUGCUGGAAAGCUGGUGGGAACUGAUUGCAUAUCAGCAGCUGAGAUGCAAUACUUGGCUUUGCUCUUCUUGGGAAUCACAGUGUGCAGACCUGGACAGCAUCACGCACAUAGCAGCUGAAAUUAGCUAUGGGGUAUUGAACAUUGAAGUGGAAGAGGGAGGUGGAAAACUAGAAGAGCAACUGCUUGAAAAUUGCACCAAAGGCCUCUUCCCAAAGAGAAAUAUGCAGGACUUCUUUGGUUUAAGGUCACUCAUCAGCAAGACCCCCAGCUGGGAUGAAGAAACGAGAGGCCAAGGCUUCUGGCAUCCUGCUGCAAUGUGACGUAAAGAGGAGAUGCCACAAGCAGGAAAUCCUCGUCUCAGAGGAAGGAGCUGGUUUUACUGAGGCAGGUGCCCCUAGGAGCUUGAAGGGCUACUGGAAGCAAGUGAAGGCUGCCCUGCCUCAAGGAGAUGAAGGCUCAUGGUGAAGUGUGAUGUUCUAUGGUCUGGAAGCAGUCGGUAAGAUCUUCACCUCCUCUAUCAGCACUUUGGAGACAUGGCUGAAGGAUUGGACAAUACCUACUAGGGAGGUAACAUCUCCAGUGGAAAAGAGGACAGGGCUUUAAAACACCUACAGCUGGCUUCCACACCCCCCUGACCUGCAUUUCAGGUCGGCACCACCAAGAUGUCUGUGUGCCUUGGCUGAUGAGGAUAACUACACGCAAGGCAAGCUAUCUGAAUCUGACAGCAAAGACCACGUUUCCCCUUAAUGCACCGUGCUGUGGGAAGUGUUUACUGCUGCUGCUCUUACAGCGCAGAAAACCAGAGCAGCUGGGAUGCAGCAAGCUCACAAUGAGGAAAAGCAGAAAGAAGAAUGACCCCGCGCCACUGUUACAAGCAGCUUCCUGAAAGCAGCUUGCGGCCAGGAAAACUGCUGGAUGAAAUCCCUCAGAGGAGGAGAAAGUCCAGGCUCCCCAGAUUUGUUGUCAUUCCUGGGGGAUGUGACCAAGGACAAGUCUUGGAUCGCCUUGCUAGCACCUCUCUCUUGCAGGAAAUGCCCAACUCCAGAUUUCUCACACAGAUAGGAAACAUUUCACCUCAGAGAGAGCAGUGCUGCAGUGGCACAGCUGCCCAGGGAGUGGUGGGGUCACCGUCCCUGGAGGUGUUCCAUACCCAUGGGGAUGUGGCACUGAGGGACGUGGGCAAUGGGCAUGGUGGGGUGGGCUGGAGUUGGGCUGGGUGAUCUUAGAGGACUUUUCCAACCUGAAUGAUUCCGUGAUACCUCCAAAAAAGCAACCUCCUGUGCUGUCCCAGAGGGCUGGGAGUGCUUGGAAGUUUUGGUGCAAAUGCUUGGUGCUCAAUAGCAGCGCACUGCAUGGUGCUGUUGGUAGCGU